GAUGAACGCUGGCGGCGUGCCUAAUACAUGCAAGUCGAGCGAACAGACGAGGAGCUUGCUCCUCUGACGUUAGCGGCGGACGGGUGAGUAACACGUGGAUAACCUACCUAUAAGACUGGGAUAACUUCGGGAAACCGGAGCUAAUACCGGAUAAUAUAUUGAACCGCAUGGUUCAAUAGUGAAAGACGGUUUUGCUGUCACUUAUAGAUGGAUCCGCGCCGCAUUAGCUAGUUGGUAAGGUAACGGCUUACCAAGGCAACGAUGCGUAGCCGACCUGAGAGGGUGAUCGGCCACACUGGAACUGAGACACGGUCCAGACUCCUACGGGAGGCAGCAGUAGGGAAUCUUCCGCAAUGGGCGAAAGCAUGACGGAGCAACGCCGCGUGAGUGAUGAAGGUCUUCGGAUCGUAAAACUCUGUUAUUAGGGAAGAACAAAUGUGUAAGUAACUAUGCACGGCUUGACGGUACCUAAUCAGAAAGCCACGGCUAACUACGUG
Molecule: ribosomal RNA, 497 nt
Filed under: uncultured bacterium
Lineage: Bacteria
Description: partial 16S ribosomal RNA
Rfam family: Bacterial small subunit ribosomal RNA
Source: RNAcentral